Molecule: ribosomal RNA, 499 nt
Filed under: Amphiura filiformis
Lineage: Eukaryota; Metazoa; Echinodermata; Ophiuroidea; Amphilepidida; Amphiuridae
Description: partial 16S ribosomal RNA
Rfam family: Bacterial large subunit ribosomal RNA
Source: RNAcentral
CGCCUUCGGAUUUUGAUCGUAAGGUUCUGCCUGCCCGGUGACCCUAAGGGUUAAACGGCUGCAGUACUCUGACUGUGCAAAGGUAGCAUAAUCAUUAGCCUGUUAAUUGCAGGCUCGUAUCAACGGCUAGACGACAGAGAGACUGUCUCUCUCUAUUUUUCCUAAACUUAACAUUAAGGUGAAGAGGCCUUAAUUAAAGAGUGGGACGAGAAGACCCUAUUGAGCUUUACUCUUUUUAUUAAAAUUAAAGUAAUAAAAUGAGUUUGGUUGGGGCAACCGCCUUUUAAUAAGAAAAAGGUAAAUACUUUAAUGGUUUAAACCUUUUACUUGACCCAAAAUUAUUUUGAGCAAUAGAAUAAGUUACCUUAGGGAUAACAGCGUAAUUUCUUUUGAGAGUACACAUUGACAAAGAAGUUUGCGACCUCGAUGUUGGAUCAGGAAUUCCUGAAUGUGCAGCAGCCUUCAAGGGUUGGUUUGUUCAACCAUAAAAAUCCUACGC